UGCUCUUUCAAACUCAAGUUCAGAUAAAUCAUUUGUAUGUCUUAAAAGACAAAACUGUAGCUGCUUUUAAUUUAGAGGAAGACAUGAGAAGACAUCAGAUCAAGACUGCCUCCAAUCGUGAUAAGAAGCUAAUAAAUAAUGUAGGCACCAUGCAAAAGGUUGCUCUGCUGUUUCUUAUAAACCCAACAAGCACCCGUGUCUGACUUAAUGCCAUCUCAAGAACCCAACAACUACUCUAAAACCAUCAUUAUCGCAUCCUUAUCACCACAAGAAAAACAAAUCAAAACCAAAGAAUCCAAAUAAUAUUAUGUCGCCAAGAGUAUUGAAUCAUGAAACUAUAGAGAAAUAAGUUUCAUGGGUCUUCCUCUGGCAUUUGAUCUAGGCUCCAAGCGGCAGUCAGGUCACCAUUAAAAGUGGCGCCUGCUGUUGACUCGAUAAAAAUGGAGCCUUU
RNAcentral lists this small RNA (451 nucleotides) under Arabidopsis thaliana (thale cress). Its description in RNAcentral is "ATSL126060". Lineage: Eukaryota; Viridiplantae; Streptophyta; Magnoliopsida; Brassicales; Brassicaceae. The record is from RNAcentral.